Molecule: long non-coding RNA, 4586 nt
Organism: Pteropus alecto (black flying fox)
Lineage: Eukaryota; Metazoa; Chordata; Mammalia; Chiroptera; Pteropodidae
Exons: 2
Source: RefSeq, a predicted model, not a curated record
UUCCUAGGUGGUCUCCCAUCCAAGUAUUAACCAGGCCCUACCCUGGUUAGCUUCCAAGAUCAGAUGGGAUUGGGCUUGUUCAGGGUAGCAUGGCUGUAGACAACCAAUAUUCUUUUUUAAGAAGAAUUUUCAUACCUUCUACUUUACCUGGACAAAGCAUAUUGAGAUCCUGACUCAACCCAUAGAAGUGUUCCUGCCUUCAGAGUGAGUAGGCAUAGGUAAGAGUAUGGAUAAAACUUUUGUAAACUGUACUGUUCUUGGCAUAAAUAUGAAUUAUAGUUUAUUUUUAAAAAAAUAUGUGAAGUAGUCACUAAAUGAGUACUCUUUACUAAGGUUAUCUAUUGCCAAGAUAAUUAUAGAAGCAUUUUCUGGGGAAAUUCACUUUAAGUUUUUGGAAUGAUUCAAAAAAUGUCUGUAAAAAAAUUCAUUCAUCGUCUUAAUUUUUGUGGUUAGUGCUUUCAGUUUUUAUAAAUAUUCUCAUUUAUCUGUUUUGGGGGAGCCCAAAGUAAAUAGUUGGAACUUUACAUUUGUUUUAUCCUUAUUUCUACCUAUUAUAUAAUACUUUAAGAAUACAUCAAGCACCUUGAUUUGUUAAAUAACUAGUGUUUAUGGGGAUUCCAUUAAAUUAAUUUUAAGAAGCCUACUAGGUUCUUAUGAAAACCCAUAAUGAGAUGUUUCUUUGUUUUAAUUGUUUAUCCCUGAGUAUGCUAUAUAUCCAUAAAUAAAAUGUCAUAAUAAGUAAUAGCAUGGUAUAUAGUAGGAAAUGCACAGGUUUUUAGAUAGAGGUCAAUUCCAUAACCUACCAUACAGUCACCUUUCCAACAGGGCUGCUCAUGGUGCACAACUCCAGGGGCCACCGUUCAUAUUUUUGGAGUUCCAAGGGUAACAUUUUCAUAGGAUGCAAUGUGAAUAGUGCCCCUGUAAUAGUGCAAUGAUGGCCUUGCUCUCUGAGCCUGAGUUUUCUCCUCUGUAAAAUGGUGCCUGAGUCAAACAGCGUUCCUUAGAACUCCCUAAAUGAUUAAGAUGAAAGGUCAUUAAAGUGUUUUAUCUCCCAAGCCAUGGCAAAAAGGAGCUCAUGGUUCUAGGCAUAGCAAAGCUCUAUUCUACAUUGUCGCACUCCAGUUCAACCUGCAUUGCUCUGCGACAUAGAGUUUGCAUGGAUUAUCUUAGCCUCCUCAUUGGUCUUGCUUAUGAUUUACUUCCCCCAGUCCUUCCAGUACACUCUAUUUAGAUAGAGCCCAACUAUCUAAAUUUCACAUCUGAGCAUGUCAUACCCAGCCAAGGUUUUGAGGCAGGCCGCUGCCAAUGCACACUACUUGUGGUACAUGAUCAAUGCAACAAAGACCCAAAAGAUCUGGGUUAACAUGCACUGGCCAAUGGACAACAUCCUUCUGAGCCCAGAUCCCAACGUGUCCUUAUUUCUCUCACAGCCCAGAGACUUGGUGAGGCCAGGGAGUUACUUUCAGUUGUUUUGCUGAGCCCCACAAAAUACACAAGAUAUUUGGUAAAGAAGGCAGUCAUCAUUUCACUACUUUUGACAAAAUUGUUUCAAAAACUAUUUCAGAUGCAAUACCAGUGAAUAAAGAGCUGUCACAACCAAAGCUAAAAAAAAUGCCAUUGUUUCAAGCUUCCAUUCCUUUGCACAUAUUUUUAUAAUACAAUAUUAAGGUUUUUUAUUUUUUAAAAUACUUUUCCCAUCUAGGUCAUGAACACCUUGAUGGCAGGUGGCAUGUCAGACAUCUUUUAUCCCUAUCAUCUAGCAUAGUGCCCAACAUAAUCUACUCAUGAUCAUAAUAGCUAACACUUAUUGAAUACUUACUAUUGAAAAGAGUCAUUUAACUCCCAAACAGUACAGUGGGGCAGAUGUUAUAAUCCCACUUUUAGAGGAAAAACAAAAAAUGGUUUAGGAAAGUUGCCCAAAGUCACACAAAUGAUUGGUAGGAGAACCAGGAUUCUAAUCUAGAGCUAUCAAAUUCCACAGUCUAAACUCUAAACAUCACCCUAUAUCACUCAACAAAUGUCUAUUGAAAUGAAAAUUAUGUUUUUGUGGCCUCUAGACAGAUAUCUUCAUCAAGUAUCAUUCAAUAUUAGCCUGAAAGUCAAACCUAUCUUAAGGAUUAUUCAGGAGGCAUACCUUGUCAAAGAAAAAAAUACUCUAUAAAUUUGAACAAGGUAGUGAUGAAUUUAUUCCUUGAUUAAUACUUAAUCAAGGAGGCAAAAUACUUGUUCACUGAAAAAUACGAAACAUUUGCUGGAAGAACAUAAAUAAAUGAAAUGACAUCUCAUGUUCAUGGAAUGGAAGACUUUUGUUAAGAGGUAAAUACUAUCCAAAAUAAUCUACAGAUUCAAUGCAAUCCCUACCAAAACCCCCAAAAAGUAUUUUGUAGAAAUAGAAAAACUCAUCCUAAACUGUACAUGGAAUUUUAAGGUUCCCCAAGUACUCAAAACAGUUGCAAAAGAACAACAAAGUUGGAGGACUAGCUUCCUGGUUUUAAAUUUUACUACAAAGCUACAGUAAGCAAAACGUGGCAUAAAGACAGAUAUACAGACUAAUGGAAUAGAAUAGAGAUCUCAGAAACAGACCCUUACAUGUAUGGUCAAAUGAUUUUCAACAAGGGUGCCAAGACCAUUCAAUGGGGGAAAGGACGGUAUUUUCAACAAAUGGUACUGGAAAAACUAUAUCCACAUGUAAAGGAAUGAAGUUAGACCAUUACCUUACACCACAAACAAAAAUUAAAAUGGAUCAAAGGCCUAAAUGAAAGACUAAAACUUUAAAAUUCUUAGAAGGAAGCUUUAUGACAUUGAAUUUGGCAAUGAUUGCUUGGAUAUGACACCGAAAGCUAAGGCAACAAAAGAAAAAAUAGAACUAUGUCAAAAAAAAUUGGACUACAUCAAAAUUAAAAACGUGCAGCAAAGGACACUAUUAAGAGAAAAAAAUGCAACCCACCAAAUGGGAGAAAAUAUUUGCAAAUUAUAUAUCUAAUAAAGGAUUAAUAUCCACAAUAUAUAAAUAACUGCAACUCAAUAACAAAACAACCUAAUUCAAAAACGAGCAAAAGACUUAAUAGACAUUUCUCCAAAGAAGAUAUACAAAUAGCUAAUAAGCACACGAAAAGAUGUUCAAUUGCCACAAAUGGAAAUGCAAACCAAAACUGCAAUAAGCUACCAUUCCACACCAAUUAAGAUAGUUUUUAAAAAAAAGUGUUGGCAAGGAUGUGGAGAAAUUGGAACCCUUGUGCAUUGUUGGUGGGAAUAUAAAAUGGUGCAGCCACUGAGAAAGUCAGUAUAAUGCUUCUUCAAAAAAUUAAACAGAAAUAUCUGAUCCAGAAAUUCCACCUCUAGCUGUAUAUCCCAAAGCAUAUAUAUACUAAAAGCAGAGACUCGAGCAUAUUUGUACACCCAUGUCCAUAGCAGCAUUAUUCACAAUAGCCAAGAAGUAGAAACAACUCAAAUGUCUAUCAACAGAUGAAGGAAUCAAUAAAAUGUUGUAUAUACAUACAUUGGGAUAUUAUUCAGCCUUAAAAAGGAAAAGUAUUCUGAUACUUGCUAAAACAAAGAUGAACCCUGAAAACAUGCUUAGUGAAAUAAGCCAGACACAAAAGUACAAAUAUUGUAUGAUUCCACUUAUAUGAGGUAUCUUAGAAUAGUCAAAUUCAUAGAGACAGAAAAAUGAUUACUAAAGGCAAGAAGGAGAGAGAAAUAGUUAUUAUUUAGUGGGUACAGAGCUUCAGUUCGACAUGAUGAUAAAGUUCUGGAGAUGGUUAGUGGUGGUUGUACAACAUGAAUGUAUUUAAUGCUACUAAACUGGGUACUCAAUGGUUAAAAUGAUAAAUUUUAUAUUAUGUAUAUUUUAUCACAAUAAAAAGAAAAAACUGUCAGCAUGCCUCUUAGUACCCCAUAUUUAAGAGAUCAGCCAACAGUAUGUAAGUGUACCCCAUCACACUAUGGACACAGUUGACCCCAGCAUCAAGUUUUAUGCCCAAGGCCGUGGUAUUGAGAGCCCUUGGAUAGAUGCUCUGAGGGGUCAGAGAUGGAUAGGAGGCAAUCUCUGCCUCCCUGUUACUUAGUAAAGUUAGAAAACAGUAAAUAUAAAAAAUAAAAGAUCAUACCAUGGGCCAGGUAAGUGCUAUGGACUCUGUUUAAGUGUUACACAAGAAGAAGAUAUUCAUUCCAUCUUUAUGUUUUCUACAUAAGGUUGUUACCACAGUGUAUUAAGCCCAGCUCACACCUCCUCUAAAAUUGUUUUACAUCCACAGAUCCAGCUCAAGAACAGACAACCAUGUUUUCAAGGUGACUCUACCGCAGUCACAGGUGGUCAGACCAAGGAUAGAACACUGAUCCAAGAUCUACUCCAUAGCUGGGCCAAUCCAUUAAUUUCUGAGAAUUUUCUACUAAAAAUAAAAAAGACAGAGUCAGAUGAUAAUGGACCCUUGAAUUUAAAGGCCAAGUAGGAUGGGGCUACAGCACUAAUAUUGGGUCAUGUGCAAGCCCUGGAAGCUGGUAAGAAUGAAGUGGAGUGGAAAUGGUAGGCUAUACAACCUUAGAGAGAGAAGAGCCUAAUAAAAUGGUCUUGAAAUUCCUGUCUC